Molecule: long non-coding RNA, 4681 nt
Filed under: Triticum aestivum (bread wheat)
Lineage: Eukaryota; Viridiplantae; Streptophyta; Magnoliopsida; Poales; Poaceae
Description: long non-coding RNA (TAES_LNC011757)
Source: RNAcentral
CUAUUAAUGUUGUACGUGAGUUGACUCGACAUGCUGCAAGAUCUUCUGAUUUGUUCUCUGAAGGUGGCCUCAGAGUAUAGCGUUGCAUAUUCCUGAGGCAAUUGUGAUUCUCUGUUUUGUUAGGACUAAGAUGCUUGAACAUGUAAGCAGUACACUAUCGAGCAAUAGAGAUCUUUCUCAUGCUGACUACAUGCUGCCAUUUGGGCCAUACACAUUGUUUAGUAACUAAUCAAAAAGUGUCAAAGGCUAGCUACCAAAGCAAAUUUGAAUCUGCUAACUAUACUACUACUGCCACAACUAACCAAGGUUGGAGCAUAAGAAAGGAGGGGUUGCCAAUUUGAACGUUAAGGACAAGCUUCCAUACAGCGGCUGCACGUCCACCAACCGCCAUGGUUGGAGCCUAUGGGAGGAGGGGUGGGAGGGAACAGGGAGGAAGCAGGAGCCGCCCAAGGUCCUGUUCAUACGGCGGCGCAGGCGGAAGACAUAACGGCGCGGCCACCGGAAGCGUUAUUCUUUCUACCCUUGUCUUCCGAGAACAAGGGGGACAAGGGAGGCGGCGGCGGCAGUGGGGAAGAAGAAUGGGGAACGGAAAGAAAGAUUGAGUUUGUGCGUGUUGUGUGUGUGUGUGUGAGAAUAAAAGUAUUUCAUGGGCCAAGCCCAAAAAUCAGUUCAAAAUAAAUUACAAAUGAAAUAUAAUAUUUCAAAAAAUGUUCGUCACCAUAAAAAAGAGAAUUAACUCCAAUUUCUUAAAAAACACCUUCUCAAAAUUAAAAAAUAUUCAUGUUUUUCUGUACAACAAUAAAUAAAAUUGAUUGAAAGACUAUGCCAUACACAAUUACUGUUUCAUCGGAGAGCUGAAAUAGGUCAUGUCGAACAUUGUUAGAAUGCGUCCAAAUUUUAUGGUCCAAAAAAAAUACUCAGUGCAUCCUUAUUUCUGACGUUUGUAAAAAUUGGAUUAAAAAAGUGUUGCAUAAUGACAUGUGGAGCAAGUUAUAUUUAAUAUUCCGCCCGAUGCAACGCACGGGCAUUUGUACUAGUCUCUAUCUCUACCUACUAAUAAAGCACCGAUCGUUUUUGGUCGUACGUCGUCGUCGGUGAUUUUGCAGAAAAGUCCUUGUACUUUUUCAAAAUUGAACCCGUAGUCCUUUCUUUAGUGGAUUCUAAAAAAACUUUCACUUUUACAUAAAUAACCCUAGAAAUCCAGCCCGAACUGGACCGCUCCGCCUCCCGCAGCUUCCUCCUACCCGAGCUCCCCUCGCACCCGCAAGCCACCUCGCCGGCGACCCCACACCUCCACCGUGCCCCGCCGCCGGAGCUCCGGCCGCUCCGCCGCCUCGCCCAUCUCCUCCUUCAUCUUGAUCUCCUCUCACCUCUGUCUCUCUUUCUCGGUGAGCAGGGAUCUCCAGGAGGACCAUGGCGCCAUCGGCCCUCAAUCUCGCCAGAUCCGGCCGCCUCCAAGCCAAAUCCGCCAGAAAUAGAUCCAUCCCGGCCAGAUCCGCCCGAAUCCGACCAGGCCCCGCCAUCCUCGCCACGGGAGCGCCGCCCGCCGCCCGUAGGCAACCUCGGCUCGCCGUCGUCAAGAUCUGGGCAACACGGGCUCGCAGCGUCGGGAGUCGGAUCCAUCGAUCCCGAAUCUCGCCACUGCAGGAUACGAGAAGGAGAUAAUCAGUUUUGUGUACGCGGAGAACAUAGAAAAGAGAUUUUUGGCCCAACCUCUGCCGCCUUGCUGACUCCACCUCGCCUCGGGUCACUUCCCACUGCCACUGGGCGUCCUUCGCCCAAUCGAUGACCUCCGUAGCUACAACACCCAGCGUGGCGUCUCCUGUUGCGGACCAGGUGGAGAUGUGAGCUUGCCAAGGAAAGAUCAGGGGUGGGAGGAGCUACCGCGCGCAUCCAUACCAGAUCAGGCAGUCGGCAUGCGUACCCGUGCCUGAUGCAGCGGUUGCUUGGCUGUGGAGGGGAAGGGAGUAUGGGUUGGUGUCGUUGUGGAGUAAUAGGAGGUCGAAUCAUGAGCAGACGAAGGUAUACAGAGCACGGGACGUCAGCUUCGUCGUCUCGUGUUGGUGCGGGUGGAGCUCAUGUGACCGUCAUAGCUGGGAGUGGAGCACGACCAGGCGUUGGUAGGAGGGAGCUGAGGAAGAGUAGGAGCAGAGCUGGGUGUUGAGGUAGCAGAAGAAGGAAGAUGGAGGCGAAGUAGCACUAAGUGAUGUGGGCUUGUGGAGGAAUAGCAAUGUGUGGACAAGAGAAGGGGCAUCUACUGGGCGGUGAGACGAUGAAUUCUGGGAAUCGGUGCUGUCCCUACUGCUUUUUUUAACGAGCUGCUACUACUAGAUGUUGUGGUGCAUUACUAGAAGCAGCUAGAUGUUGCUCUACGAGCUAGCAUUAUAAAAGAAUUUCCCCAUAAAAAAUUACAAAAUAAUUUGUUCCGGUGAGCUUCGAUAAUGAUUUCUUGGUACCGUCAUAGUUUAUUGGGCAUGCCGACCGUAUAUCAUAAAUAAAUUAUCAUUAUAUAAUAGUAAUUUAUUGGGCAUGCAGACCAUAUAUCACAAAUAAAUUAUCAUUAUAUAAUAGUAACUAAAAUAUAUGUGAGUGAAAUAUUAGAAAAAAAUAAUUAUUACUUAAGGAGAAGAAAUUUUGCCCUCACGAGGACAAAAUGAAAGUGCGGAGCUAAAAUAGGUCACGACGAACGUUGUUAGGGUACGUCUAAAUUUCAUGGUCCAAAGUGUAACCUUAUUUCCGAGGAUUUCAAAAAUUGGAUUAAAAAAGUGCUGCAUAAUGGCACGUGGAGCAGGUUGUAUUUUAUUUUCAGGAAUUAUUUUUAUUUUGCCAAUCAAGAUUUUGCCAAUUUUCAUUAUGCCACUCUAGAUUUUGACAUUUUCAGUUUUGCCACUAUUAGUUUUUGACAAUUAUCACAAUUGCCAUUCCUGUAGCAAAAGCAAAAUUUUCUGAGUGGCAAUUGUGAUAAUUGGAAAUGACAACUGUGAUAAUUAUCAAAAGUUAUGAGUGGCAAAAAUAAAAUAAAUUAUUUUGCUUUUGCCACAUAAUGACAAUUGUGAUAAUUGUCAAAAAAUAAGAGUGAAAAAGUGAAAUGUCAAAAUCUAGACUGGCAGAAUUUUUUUUGGCAAAAUCUAGAGUGGAAAAAACAAAAUAAUUUCUUUUAUUUUUCACCCGGUGCAACGCACGGGCAUUUUUACUAGUUACUAUUACUAGUUACUAUUACUAGUUACGCGGGGUAUCUGCCCGUCCGUCGUGCCAAUUUGCAAAAAAGCCCCUGUUUUACAUGAAAUCAACCCGCAGUCCAGAUUUAAGUCACUCCGAACCGUUAUUUUACAGUUUUUCAAAAAACCCCUUGGCUUUUUAGGUAUUCUAUUCGCGGAUCAUAUUUAAUAAAACAAAUGCUUUUCUAAAUCAUCCAUAUCUUUUAAACCGUAACUCCGAUUUAAACAUGUUAUAUAUGAAUUUUGAUUAGAAAAAUAUGUAGAAUAUGAAUAUAAGAUUAUUUUAACCUGUUAAGUAUUUAUAAAUAUUAUUUUGAAAGAUAUUUAAUUCAAACAAAUGGUUUUCUAAAUUAUACGCAUCUUUUAAACCGUAUCCGACUUUUAAUAUGUUAUAUAUGAAAUUUGAUUAGAAAAAUGCGUGAAAUCUGUAUGUGAUGUUAAUUUUACCUAUUAAAUAUUUUUUAAAUAUUGUUUUGAAAGGAAACUUAUAAUUAUAGCGCACGAUCCAUUUUUCUUUGAUACAGACGGCGAUCCGGAUUGCAAAUAAACACCCACUAUAAUCAUAUAGGGAAAAGAAAACAUCGAGAACUACACAUGCAUACCUCUGAAUACGUCGCAGGGGAAAACAACAGAUAUUUUAUCGCGAGUGUGAGAGAAAGCGAGAGAGAGGGAGAGGGAGGACAGAAGGAGAAAGAGACGUCUUAGGAUUAACCACAUUCUAACACGUUUUGGUUUGUGUGAACACUAAGGCCAUCGUCGGCGAGGGUGGGAAGAAGGAUAAGCGGCAACACAAAUAUGAUGUGUCGUUAAAAUAAAGGAGAUGGACCUAUUGUGGUCUUGAGUGAUGGUUGUUCGGUUAAGAGUGUGUGUUGUGUUUUUUCUCCCGUUGCAACGCACGGGCUCUUUUGCUAGUAAUAAUAAUAAUAUUAUAAUAAUAAUAAUAAUAAUCUUUAUCUUUACCUUAUUAAUAAUAAAGCAAAUUGAGUUUCUGGUCAUCCGUCGGCAAUUUUGCAAAAAGGUCCCUAUGUUUAUGCGUAUUCAACCCGCGCUCCCCAUGAUAAGUCAACCGAAUCGGUAUGCAAUAGAGAAAGAAAGAAAAACACCACAGGACCGUGCUCCCAAUCUCACCGACUCACCGUGUGCCACCGGCCGCCGCGCGCCGCCACCUCCAACCCUCCUCCCAUCUUCAAUACUUAUCCUUUCAGUGUGGUCGCGGCCGACGACGCGCGCCUCCUCUGGGAAGAGGCCAUGGGGAAGCAGAGGCCGUAGAGGCAUGGCGACCUCACAUCCCACCACGACCUCCGGCGACACUCCUCCAAGAUCAUACCCAACCCCCUCGCCACCUGGGGCCCUCCCACAUGCCAUUGCAGAAUCCAUAUGUGGGGAGGAGGCAUCCCACAAAUAGAAGAACCCUCAGACUUGAGAUCCAGCAGAUCGACCACGACGCCCAUGGAGCGCGGGGG